UUUAUUGAGAGUUUGAUCCUGGCUCAGGACGAACGCUGGCGGCGUGCUUAACACAUGCAAGUCGAGCGAUGAAGUUUCUUCGGAAACGGAUUAGCGGCGGACGGGUGAGUAACACGUGGGUAACCUGCCUCAUAGAGGGGAAUAGCCUUUCGAAAGGAAGAUUAAUACCGCAUAAGAUUGUAGCUUCGCAUGAAGCAGCAAUUAAAGGAGUAAUCCGCUAUGAGAUGGACCCGCGUCGCAUUAGCUAGUUGGUGAGGUAACGGCUCA
This 267-nucleotide ribosomal RNA is filed under the name Clostridium sp. RNAcentral describes it as "partial 16S ribosomal RNA". It matches the Rfam family "Bacterial small subunit ribosomal RNA", at positions 1 to 267 of the family's 1533-position model. The record is from RNAcentral. Lineage: Bacteria; Bacillati; Bacillota; Clostridia; Eubacteriales; Clostridiaceae.